GACGAACGCUGGCGGCGUGCCUAAUACAUGCAAGUCGAGCGCAGGAAACUGACGGAACUCUUCGGAGGGAAGGCAGCGGAAUGAGCGGCGGACGGGUGAGUAACACGUAAGGAACCUGCCUCAAGGAUUGGGAUAACUCCGAGAAAUCGGAGCUAAUACCGGAUAGUUCAUCGGACCGCAUGGUCCGUUGAUGAAAGGCGCUCCGGCGUCACCUUGAGAUGGCCUUGCGGUGCAUUAGCUAGUUGGUGGGGUAACGGCCCACCAAGGCGACGAUACAUAGCCGACCUGAGAGGGUGAUCGGCCACACUGGGACUGAGACACGGCCCAGACUCCUACGGGAGGCAGCAGUAGGGAAUCUUCCACAAUGGACGAAAGUCUGAUGGAGCAACGCCGCGUGAGUGAUGAAGGUUUUCGGAUCGUAAAACUCUGUUGUAAGGGAAGAACACGUACGAGAGGAAAUGCUCGUACCUUGACGGUACCUUACGAGAAAGCCACGGCUAACUACGUGCCAGCCGCCGCUGUAA
RNAcentral lists this ribosomal RNA (524 nucleotides) under uncultured bacterium. RNAcentral describes it as "partial 16S ribosomal RNA". It matches the Rfam family "Bacterial small subunit ribosomal RNA", at positions 28 to 523 of the family's 1533-position model. The record is from RNAcentral.